UUUUCUUUUUAACCCAAACAAUAAACAAAACACACUCUUUUGGAUUUUGAAGACGAGGGUCUGUAUCUGUUCAAAACUCGAAUUCUAGCCCCUCUACUCUUAUCUUUCUCCAUCUCGCUUAUUACCCUUAUAAAAUCUGCAAUUAAACACAGCCAUGACGCGCGGGCGGCCACAAAUUUUCGUAACCCUAAUUAUUCCUUUUUCCCGCCAAAACAUUCUUUACAUAGAUGCAUAUAUGGGUUUUUGAACUGGAAAUAAUGGCAGGGUGGUCGAUGAUUGCUGGUGACAGGUGCGCCUUAGAUAGCUCCAAAACCCCACAAAAAGAACUCCACCAAGAAGGGUUCUUGGACGGUCUUGACCCGUUUUCACAAUUGUCCCGUCUAACAACAGACUCUGACGCCAAGCUUCGAUGCCAGUUUGAUAACUGUUUGAAAUCUUUAAGGAAAGAGAUCUGUGUCCUAGAUAGUGCUUUUCCUCCAAUGCUUGGAGAUGGACAACCUGUGGAUUUGCUUAAAUUGUUUUUGCUUGUGAGGGAGAAAGGUGGGUAUGAUGUCGUCUCUAAGAAUGGUUUGUGGAGUGUGGUGGCUCAAGAGUCUGGGUUGGGCUUAAACAUUGCAUCAUCUGUCAAGCUGGUCUAUGCCAAGUAUUUGGAUACAUUAGAGAAAUGUUUAGAGAGAGUUGUUGAUGAUAAGAAUUCAAAAACCAAAUCGAGUGUUAGUAGCCCGAAUGUGGGCGGGAUUUCAAUGGAAUUAAGAUCUGAGUUUAAGGGGUUGUUGUCCGAUAUACCAGAGUGGAAAUCUGUACUGAAUGUGAGUGCUGAGGUUGAUCCAAAUGGAGAUGAGAAAUGCAUUGUUGAUGAUGAAGAAUCUGUGCAUAUAGGUACUGGAAAGAGUGGUGUUGAUUUUGUGGAUGUUGGGAAAUUAGGCUAUAAUGUUGCUAAGAGCUCUGCUAUUGAUUCUUUUUCUGAUGGGGACAAGAAGUGCAAAGAUGAUCAGGAAAACCUAAGGUCCAAUUUAACAAGCCUGAAUGCAUUUGAUGAGGAUGAGGUGAAGAGUAUGGUGGUGGAAAUAGAGGAUGACAAGAAAUGUGAAAAUGGCGAUGAAAAUGAUGUUAUUGUAUUAGAUUCAGAUGCUGUUAAAGACUCAUUUUCUUGCCUUAAGAGGAAAAGGAAGUCUGUAUGUAGAGUGCUAAACUGGAUUACUGGGGUUGCAAGGAAUCCAUGUGAUCCUCUAGUUGAUUCAUUACCAGAGAGUUCAAAAUGGGGGUCUUAUGGGAAUGAAGAAUUGUGGAAGCAGGUUUUGUUGGCUCGGGAAGCAUUAUUUCUGAAAGGAAAUGUUGAUUCAGGUGCUGAACAGAAAAAUCGGAAGAUGCACCCAUGCAUGUAUGAUGAUCCUGUUGGAUCGGCUUACAAUUUCAGAGAGAGGUUAAAAUGUACCAAGAAGCUGCUACAUGGGAAAACAGCAUCUCAAGGAGAGGCUUGUUCACAGUUAUCAUCUUCAACCGCUGAAACUGAGUCAGACUCCUGCACAAAAAAGAUUUGUGAUGGUCAUUCGUCGACUAAAUAUUCAGUGAUUGAUAUUCCAGUUGAAAAACCAAUUCCUCUGGGCCCAGAUUUUCAGGCUGAAGUACCAGAAUGGACUGGCAUGGUUUCUCAAAGUGACUCAAAGUGGGUUGGAACCCGAGUUUGGCCACCAGAAAAGAUAGAUAACAGAUUAGUUAUUGAAAGGGAACCCAUUGGUAAGGGAAGGCAAGAUUCAUGUGGGUGCGAAGUGCCAAAAUCUACAGAAUGUGUCAGAUUUCAUAGCACUGAGAAGAGAAUGAGAACGAGGCGUGAAUUGGGGAUAGCUUUCCUUCAUUGGAAGUUUGAUAAGAUGGGGGAAGAUGUUAAACUUUCCUGGACAGAAGAAGAAGAGAAAAAGUUCAAGGCCAUAGUGCGGUUAAAUCCUCCAUCUCUUGAUAAGUGUUUCUGGGAUGAGAUGUUCAAAUUCUUUCCCACCAGGAGAAGAGAAGACCUGGUGAGUUACUACUUCAAUGUAUUUCUUUUGCAGCGCAGAGCACACCAGAAUAGAUUUACUCCAAAUAACAUUGACAGCGAUGAUGAUGAAUCAGAAUGUGGAUUAAUAGCUAAUAGUUCUGGGCAUGAAGCACCCAAAUCACCAGGCAGCCUCUUAUAUUCUGCAAAGAAGCCUCGUAAAAAUGCUAGAUGAUGCCUGUUUAUUGGUGGAAGUGAAUUGCCUUACUAAGAUAUAUAAAAUUUUGGCUGUUUUUUCCUCCUACGGUUUUGAUAUUUGGCAAUUUUCCAUGGCUGUCUUCGUACGACACCAAAAAAUUUUUUGCUGCCUGUGAAAGCUUAAGCCAUGUUAUUAACAUUCUGCACUUAAUGGUAAUUCAGUGGAGAGCAUCGAUGAUAGAUAUAUUUUGGCUGCAGCAGCAAGCAGGCUCAAGCUUAUGGCUCUUAGCAUGCUUUUGUUAUUUGCUUUCAGUUUCUGAGACAUACUUCCUGAUGAUUCAUAUAUGAUAUAUGCCUACUUCACGUGCAGGGAAGGUAAGAUUAAUGAUCCCGAGGAAUUGGUACAUGAUUAAGGAGGAUGGGUUCUUCACGAAUGUGGUGACUUUAAUUAUAGAAUGAGCUUUUUAUGGCUCAGGAACGAUGUUUUGGAGCUUUUGAUGUGAAGAUGAAUCUCUUUAAGAAAUGAUUUGAGGAAGCUAAGAUUAGGAAUGGAGGCCAGACGACUAUUUUCAAGUACCCAACUUGCUCCGGCCAUUUAUUACUGUGGGUUUCAAGUAGUCAUAUACUACUUUGCGAUGGUGAUAUGGGUAGUAAGAUCAUCUAUGACGGUUUCGUGUUGGGUACUAGUUUUGGUCUAGGGUCUAGGGUACUAGUUUAGGUCCAAGGAUGAAAGUAGUACAUGUAUUUUAGGGUACUUGUUUGGCUCUAAUCCGCUGUAGUUAUAAAUGAGUUUGGGACGAGUAUGAGACAUAAAGUUAUUAUUCAUAAUGGUUAUGGGUAAGGUACGAAUAUAGAUAUUUGGAUACUCACUGCCCGCUAUCUUCUAUAUUAAAUGAGUUUGAUAGUGGAUAUCUAUGGGUACCUUAUUCAUUAUUAGCGAAAAAAAAAAUGUAUUUUGAAUAA
Jatropha curcas is the source of this 3133-nucleotide RNA transcript. It is a transcript of the gene named ARID/BRIGHT AND ELM2 DNA-binding domain-containing protein, with no coding region annotated. Lineage: Eukaryota; Viridiplantae; Streptophyta; Magnoliopsida; Malpighiales; Euphorbiaceae. The record is from RefSeq and is a predicted model, not a curated record.